This 468-nucleotide ribosomal RNA is filed under the name uncultured bacterium. RNAcentral's name for it is "partial 16S ribosomal RNA". It matches the Rfam family "Bacterial small subunit ribosomal RNA", at positions 28 to 507 of the family's 1533-position model. The record is from RNAcentral.
GACGAACGCUGGCGGCGUGCUUAACACAUGCAAGUCGAACGGAAAGGCCCUGCUUUUGUGGGGUGCUCGAGUGGCGAACGGGUGAGUAACACGUGAGUAACCUGCCCUUGACUUUGGGAUAACUUCAGGAAACUGGGGCUAAUACCGGAUAGGAGCUCCUGCUGCAUGGUGGGGGUUGGAACGUUUCGGCGGUUGGGGAUGGACUCGCGGCUUAUCAGCUUGUUGGUGGGGUAGUGGCUUACCAAGGCUUUGACGGGUAGCCGGCCUGAGAGGGUGACCGGCCACCUUAGGCCUGAGAUACGGCCCAGACUCCUACGGGAGGCAGCAGUGGGGAGUAUUGCACAGUGGGCGGGAGCCUGAUGCAGCAACGCCGCGUGCGGGAUGACGGCCUUCGGGCUGUAAACCGCUUUCGCCUGUGACGAAGCGUGAGUGACGGUAAUGGGUGAAGAAGCACCGGCUAACUACGUG